This 386-nucleotide ribosomal RNA is filed under the name uncultured bacterium. RNAcentral's name for it is "bacterial SSU rRNA". It matches the Rfam family "Bacterial small subunit ribosomal RNA", at positions 28 to 416 of the family's 1533-position model. The record is from RNAcentral.
GACGAACGCUGGCGGCGUGCUUAACACAUGCAAGUCGAGCGGUAAGGCCCUUUCGGGGGUACACGAGCGGCGAACGGGUGAGUAACACGUGGGUGACCUGCCCUCAGCUCUGGGAUAAGCCUGGGAAACUGGGUCUAAUACUGGAUAUGACUCCACGGUGCAUGUCGUGGGGUGGAAAGCCUUGUGCGGCUGAGGAUGGGCCCGCGGCCUAUCAGCUUGUUGGUGGGGUGAGGCCUACCAAGGCGACGACGGGUAGCCGGCCUGAGAGGGCGACCGGCCACACUGGGACUGAGACACGGCCCAGACUCCUACGGGAGGCAGCAGUGGGGAAUAUUGCACAGUGGGCGAAAGCCUGAUGCAGCGACGCCGCGUGAGGGAUGACGGCC